GAGAGCAGAAAGAUUUAUCGCCGGGGGAUCGGCCCGCGUCCGAUUAGCUAGUUGGUGGGGUAACGGCUCACCAAGGCGACGAUCGGUAGCUGGUCUGAGAGGAUGAUCAGCCACAUUGGGACUGAGACACGGCCCAAACUCCUACGGGAGGCAGCAGUGGGGAAUAUUGGACAAUGGGCGCAAGCCUGAUCCAGCCAUGCCGCGUGAGUGAUGACGGCCUUAGGGUUGUAAAGCUCUUUCGCCAGGGACGAUAAUGACGGUACCUGGAUAAGAAGCCCCGGCUAACUUCGUGCCAGCAGCCGCGGUAAUACGAAGGGGGCUAGCGUUGUUCGGAAUUACUGGGCGUAAAGCGCGUGUAGGCGGGUCUUUAAGUCAGGGGUGAAAUGCCAAGGCUCAACCUUGGAACUGCCUUUGAUACUGGAGAUCUUGAGUCCGGGAGAGGUGAGUGGAACUGCGAGUGUAGAGGUGAAAUUCGUAGAUAUUCGCAAGAACACCAGUGGCGAAGGCGGCUCACUGGCCCGGAACUGACGCUGAGACGCGAAAGCGUGGGGAGCAAACAGGAUUAGAUACCCUGGUAGUCCACGCUGUAAACGAUGGAUGCUAGCCGUUGGGGAGCUUGCUCUUCAGUGACGCAGCUAACGCAUUAAGCACUCCGCCUGGGGAGUACGGCCGCAAGGUUA
RNAcentral lists this ribosomal RNA (680 nucleotides) under uncultured bacterium. RNAcentral describes it as "bacterial SSU rRNA". It matches the Rfam family "Bacterial small subunit ribosomal RNA", at positions 195 to 896 of the family's 1533-position model. The record is from RNAcentral.